Long non-coding RNA from Hyaena hyaena (striped hyena), 253 nucleotides. RefSeq lists it as uncharacterized. The transcript has 2 exons. Lineage: Eukaryota; Metazoa; Chordata; Mammalia; Carnivora; Hyaenidae. The record is from RefSeq and is a predicted model, not a curated record.
AUCCUGAAAUCCAGUGUCCGGCCAGAGGAUCCUUGAAAAUCUGCUGACUUCGGGGCUCUGCACAACAGGAAUGCCACAAUUGCUGCUGGGGAAAAGGAGAGAAGAUAACUUAUUUGUCGACAGUUAUUCAGUGAGCAUCUGAGUUCUGCUCGUGACAUCAGAAUUCCUUUCUGCCUCUCAAAGAUGUCAAUGGAAAGAUUCUUUGGACAACUGCCAUUAAUUAAACCUUGUCAUGUAAAAUUUAAAGGCAAAA